This 490-nucleotide ribosomal RNA is filed under the name uncultured bacterium. RNAcentral's name for it is "partial 16S ribosomal RNA". It matches the Rfam family "Bacterial small subunit ribosomal RNA", at positions 30 to 507 of the family's 1533-position model. The record is from RNAcentral.
AUUGAACGCUGGCGGCAGGCCCAACACAUGCAAGUCGAACGGUAACAGGAAGAAGCUUGCUUCUUUGCUGACGAGUGGCGGACGGGUGAGUAAUGUCUGGGAAACUGCCUGAUGGAGGGGGAUAACUACUGGAAACGGUAGCUAAUACCGCAUAAUGUCGCAAGACCAAAGAGGGGGACCUUCGGGCCUCUUGCCAUCGGAUGUGCCCAGAUGGGAUUAGCUAGUAGGUGGGGUAACGGCUCACCUAGGCGACGAUCCCUAGCUGGUCUGAGAGGAUGACAAGCCACACUGGAACUGAGACACGGUCCAGACUCCUACGGGAGGCAGCAGUGGGGAAUAUUGCACAAUGGGCGCAAGCCUGAUGCAGCUAUGCCGCGUGUAUGAAGAAGGCCUUCGGGUUGUAAAGUACUUUCAGCGGGGAGGAAGGGAGUAAAGUUAAUACCUUUGCUCAUUGACGUUACCCGCAGAAGAAGCACCGGCUAACUCCGUG